Molecule: ribosomal RNA, 738 nt
Filed under: Triticum aestivum (bread wheat)
Lineage: Eukaryota; Viridiplantae; Streptophyta; Magnoliopsida; Poales; Poaceae
Description: partial small subunit ribosomal RNA
Source: RNAcentral
AUGGAAUUUGAGAUGAAGGAUUUGGGUAAAACCAAAUUUUUCUUAGGUAUUCAACUUGAGCAUCUUCCCUCAGGAAUCAUGGUACACCAAUCUGCCUAUAUCCAGAAAAUAUUGGAGAAAUUCAAUAUGGACAAAUCCUAUCCAUCUAAAACUCCCAUGGUGGUUCGAUCUCUAGACAUAGAGAAAGAUCCGUUCAGACCAAGGGAUGACGGAGAAGAGGUGUUGGGACAUGAAGUUCCAUACCUUAGUGCUGUUGGAGCGCUUAUGUAUCUUGCAAAUUGCACAAGACCUGAUAUUGCAUUUGCAGUGAAUCUACUUGCUAGACAUAGCGCAGCUCCCACCAAACGUCAUUGGUCUGGAGUGAAGAAUAUCUUUCGAUAUCUCCAAGGCACAAAGGAUCUUGGCCUAUUUUUCAAGUUCCAGAAAAAUCAGGACUCUGAUAUGAUUGGAUAUGCAGAUGCCGGUUAUUUGUCUGAUCCCCAUAAUGCCAGAUCUCAGACCGGCUUCGUGUUCCUACAUGGUGGCACUGCUAUAUCAUGGAAGUCUUCGAAACAGACUCUGGUGGCAACAUCUACCAAUCAUUCUGAAAUAAUUUCAUUAUUUGAAGCAACAUGCGAAUGUGUAUGGCUUCGCAGAAUGAUAAACCACAUACGACAGUCAUGUGGAAUGGGUUCGAUAAAAUCACCUACCAUUAUCUAUGAAGAUAAUGCGGCCUGUGUUGCGCAGACGCAAACAUGA